GAGUGGUUCCGGGGUCGGUGAAAGUCCGAGCCGGCGGUGACAGUCCGCGACCCGAUGACGAUCAGCAGGUCGGAUUCGGUUGAUGUGGUGAAACUCCACGACCGACGGUGAAAGUCCGGAUGGGAGGAACCGCGG
Molecule: non-coding RNA, 135 nt
Filed under: Microlunatus soli
Lineage: Bacteria; Bacillati; Actinomycetota; Actinomycetes; Propionibacteriales; Propionibacteriaceae
Description: FMN sequence
Rfam family: FMN riboswitch aptamer (RFN element)
About the family: The RFN element is a highly conserved domain that is found frequently in the 5'-untranslated regions of prokaryotic mRNAs that encode for flavin mononucleotide (FMN) biosynthesis and transport proteins. This element is a metabolite-dependent riboswitch that directly binds FMN in the absence of proteins. In Bacillus subtilis, the riboswitch most likely controls gene expression by causing premature transcription termination within the 5' untranslated region of the ribDEAHT operon and precluding access to the ribosome-binding site of ypaA mRNA.
Source: Rfam by way of RNAcentral